ACACAUGCAGUCGAGCGGUAGAGAGAAGCUUGCUUCUCUUGAGAGCGGCGGACGGGUGAGUAAUGCCUAGGAAUCUGCCUAGUGGUGGGGGAUAACGUUCGGAAACGGACGCUAAUACCGCAUACGUCCUACGGGAGAAAGCGGGGGACCUUCGGGCCUCGCGCCAUUAGAUGAGCCUAGGUCGGAUUAGCUAGUUGGUGAGGUAACGGCUCACCAAGGCGACGAUCCGUAACUGGUCUGAGAGGAUGAUCAGUCACACUGGAACUGAGACACGGUCCAGACUCCUACGGGAGGCAGCAGUGGGGAAUAUUGGACAAUGGGCGAAAGCCUGAUCCAGCCAUGCCGCGUGUGUGAAGAAGGUCUUCGGAUUGUAAAGCACUUUAAGUUGGGAGGAAGGGUAGUAACUUAAUACGUUGCUACUUUGACGUUACCGACAGAAUAAGCACCGGCUAACUUCGUGCCAGCAGCCGCGGUAAUACGAAGGGUGCAAGCGUUAAUCGGAAUUACUGGGCGUAAAGCGCGCGUAGGUGGUUCAGUAAGUUGGAUGUGAAAGCCCCGGGCUCAACCUGGGAACUGCAUCCAAAACUGCUGAGCUAGAGUACGGUAGAGGGUGGUGGAAUUUCCUGUGUAGCGGUGAAAUGCGUAGAUAUAGGAAGGAACACCAGUGGCGAACGCGACCACCUGGACUGAUACUGACACUGAGUGCGAAAGCGUGGGGAGCAAACAGGA
RNAcentral lists this ribosomal RNA (729 nucleotides) under uncultured bacterium. RNAcentral describes it as "bacterial SSU rRNA". It matches the Rfam family "Bacterial small subunit ribosomal RNA", at positions 51 to 777 of the family's 1533-position model. The record is from RNAcentral.